Nicotiana attenuata is the source of this 1736-nucleotide long non-coding RNA. RefSeq lists it as uncharacterized. NCBI's taxonomy places the organism in Eukaryota, Viridiplantae, Streptophyta, Magnoliopsida, Solanales, Solanaceae. The record is from RefSeq and is a predicted model, not a curated record. The transcript has 2 exons.
GUUCCCUUCUCACCAAAAACACCAACGGCAAGCACUAUGUAUGGUUAAAGAAUCAUUCGUACACGCAACAAUCACGAACCCAAGAGAUGGUAUUUUAGUCUUCAAAAUAAUGUCCUAGACCACAACAACAAUAGCUAGAAACACACAGAAACUACCAUAGUGAUACAAAAGAAAGAAAUGGGUACCUACAAUAGGAGGAGGAGAAAUCAUUUUGUCAACACUGGCUACAUGUUAAAUAUUUUGAAAAACUAGACAUCAUUUUCUUGUUCUUCUUGUGGUGGUCAAAAAUCUAAACUCAGCCGGGACAGACACCCCAAAGCCAAGUCCAGACCAAAAAAGCCCAAAUUAUGCCAUCACUACUGGCACGACAUUCUCUCAUCAAUGGACCAAUGCACAAAUGUACCAAACCCUUAAUACGUUCUCUGACCUUGCAAAGACCAGGUCAAUCUUCAACGCUCACAAUGCGAAUAUUUAGAAUUGCCUUCAAAAAUUAAGCGACGUGGCUUUGCCUAAUUCUCAAUCGCACACCUUCAAAAGAGAAGAGAUGCUGGGUCACGUCAUGGGGCACGUCAGUCACCUGUAAAACGGACUCCAAUUCUCUUCAAACAAAUUCGUUAACUUGCAAUCAAACCCGAUACCUCUCUUUGUUGUAAAAUACGUAUAUAUUUUCUUUUACGCAACUCAUUCUUUUGUAUUUGCUGCUCUGAAGCACCAUCUGACUUAUACAAGCUCCGUAACGUAUCAAUCAAAUAAAAAUAUCUUUACUGCUUUAUCUUUUGUCAUUUAUUUUUGCUCCAUUGAAUCUUGCAAUUUUUUCGUUUGAUCUGCAUUUUAAACGAUAUUAGUGCAUAUUUGGUAGAACAAUAUCAGUGCAGAUCUCGUUAUUCCUUGGAUAAUAAAAAUUAAUGUGUAGGUAUGAGCAAAUAUGCAUACAUGCGCGCACACAAAUUUAGUGUUUGAUUGAAGAUCUUCCACCAAGGGCGGUGGCACCCUCUUGAGGAGACAAAGUUUGGCUAUGGAGGUAUAAGAGAAGAUCCACAUUAAUCGGCAAACAGUGUUAUAAGAUUUUCUUAUCUUUUACAAUAUUCACAAAUUGGAUGGCCGCAACCCCCCAACACAAUUAAAAGAAAUGUCAACAAUUUGGUCUUUUGGAUUAUAUGAAAUGUAACCAAACCCAUGCCACAAUCUUCUUCACUUGGAUAGAAUCUUCUCAGUUCCCUCAUGCACCCGCACGUUCCAAACAAUUUACUGAUACGCAUGCAGGUGACGCAGAGCGGAUCAAUGGACGAAUAGUGCACUAACUGGGAGGAAAACAAGUUGAGCAAGAAGAAGUUCUCAUGCGCGGCUGCGCGAGCGACCCCCAACGUGCACUUGAGCGCGCAAGUGCUACAAAAGUCUGCCAGAUGUGCGCGGUCAUUCUCCCAGGUGCGCGGCCGCACAACUCCAUCUCCGGGAAUUUGACCCAAGCCUAUUUUUGUAAUUUUAGAGGCAGCCUUUUGACCUAUAUAAAGCCUAGCCCGUCCCAGAACAAGGUAAUUGGAUUUUGGAGCAAAUUUUGGAGAGAAGAAGGAAAAAAAAAACAACAUAGACUCUGAAUACUUCAUCUGAAUCAUUCAAUACGAAAGUUUGUUCGAAUUCGUAGGUUGUAAUAUUUUCUUUUUCUCUUAAUACUGUUGUGGUGAUACACUUCUUUACUAUGGAGUAAUCUUUCUUAGGGCUACUGACAAAUAUUGUGA